GACGAACGCUGGCGGCGUGCUUAACACAUGCAAGUCGAACGGAAAGGCCCUGCUUUUGUGGGGUGCUCGAGUGGCGAACGGGUGAGUAACACGUGAGUAACCUGCCCUUGACUUUGGGAUAACUUCAGGAAACUGGGGCUAAUACCGGAUAGGAGCUCCUGCUGCAUGGUGGGGGUUGGAAAGUUUCGGCGGUUGGGGAUGGACUCGCGGCUUAUCAGCUUGUUGGUGGGGUAGUGGCGUACCAAGGCUUUGACGGGUAGCCGGCCUGAGAGGGUGACCGGCGACCAUGGGACUGCGGGACGGCCCAGACUCCUACGGGCGGCAGCAGUGGGGAAUUUUGCGCAAUGGGCGCACGCCUGAUGCAGCAGCGCCGCGUGCGGGAUGCCGUCCUUCGGGUUGUGAACCGCUUUCGCCUGUGACGAGGCGUGAGUGACGGUAAUGGGUAAAAAAGCACCGGCUAACUACGUG
RNAcentral lists this ribosomal RNA (468 nucleotides) under uncultured bacterium. Its description in RNAcentral is "partial 16S ribosomal RNA". It matches the Rfam family "Bacterial small subunit ribosomal RNA", at positions 28 to 507 of the family's 1533-position model. The record is from RNAcentral.